This 440-nucleotide ribosomal RNA is filed under the name uncultured bacterium. RNAcentral describes it as "bacterial SSU rRNA". It matches the Rfam family "Bacterial small subunit ribosomal RNA", at positions 29 to 514 of the family's 1533-position model. The record is from RNAcentral.
AACGAACGCUGGCGGCAUGCCUAACACAUGCAAGUCGAACGAGACCUUCGGGUCUAGUGGCGCACGGGUGCGUAACGCGUGGGAAUCUGCCCUUGGGUUCGGAAUAACAGUUAGAAAUGACUGCUAAUACCGGAUAAUGUCUUCGGACCAAAGAUUUAUCGCCCAGGGAUGAGCCCGCGUAGGAUUAGCUAGUUGGUGAGGUAAAGGCUCACCAAGGCGACGAUCCUUAGCUGGUCUGAGAGGAUGAUCAGCCACACUGGGACUGAGACACGGCCCAGACUCCUACGGGAGGCAGCAGUGGGGAAUAUUGGACAAUGGGCGAAAGCCUGAUCCAGCAAUGCCGCGUGAGUGAUGAAGGCCUUAGGGUUGUAAAGCUCUUUUACCCGGGAUGAUAAUGACAGUACCGGGAGAAUAAGCCCCGGCUAACUCCGUGCCAGCAG